CAGUCGUACUGGCGGGCAAUCAGCCUUUUGGGUGUGAUUAUGUGGGGCGUGAGGAGUUAAUCGCCUUCAUGCCUGCGUAUUCGUGCACUUUGGGUGUACUUGCUCGUGUGGUAGGUUAACAUCAAUUUCGGUCGUCAUAAAAUGAUCGGAGGAAUGUAGCUUCGAUCUCGUAUUGAAGUGUUAUAGCCUUCGGUAGAUGUGAUGAUUGGGAUUGAGGAUUGCAACGGAUACCCUUCGGGGCUACCUGUCUGAUCUCUGAAAGUUGCUCUGGUGCCGAAAGCUCGCUUACGGUAUUAAAGUUGACGUUCAACAGGUUAGAACGGGAUAAA
This 329-nucleotide ribosomal RNA is filed under the name Glomus sp. RNAcentral's name for it is "partial large subunit ribosomal RNA". Lineage: Eukaryota; Fungi; Glomeromycota; Glomeromycetes; Glomerales; Glomeraceae. The record is from RNAcentral.